RNAcentral lists this ribosomal RNA (340 nucleotides) under uncultured bacterium. RNAcentral's name for it is "bacterial SSU rRNA". It matches the Rfam family "Bacterial small subunit ribosomal RNA", at positions 30 to 353 of the family's 1533-position model. The record is from RNAcentral.
AUUGAACGCUGGCGGCAGGCCUAACACAUGCAAGUCGAACGGUAACAGGACUAGCUUGCUAGUUGCUGACGAGUGGCGGACGGGUGAGUAACGCGUAGGAAUCUGCCAAGUAGUGGGGGACAACAGUGGGAAACGGCUGCUAAUACCGCAUACGCCCUGUUUUUAUUAAUAGGGGAAGGAGGGGAUCCAUUUAUGGACCUUUCGCUAUUUGAUGAGCCUGCGUGGGAUUAGCUAGUUGGUGGGGUAAAGGCUCACCAAGGCGACGAUCUCUAGCUGGUCUGAGAGGAUGAUCAGCCACACUGGGACUGAGACACGGCCCAGACUCCUGCGGGAGGCAGCA